UGGGGAAUCUUGCGCAAUGCGCGAAAGCGUGACGCAGCAACGCCGCGUGGGUGAAGACGGCCUUCGGGUUGUAAAGCCCUUUCAGUUGGGACGAAGCUUUGCCGGUGAAUAGCCGGUUGGAGUGACGGUACCUUCAGAAGAAGCCCCGGCUAACUACGUGCCAGCAGCCGCGGUAAUACGUAGGGGGCUAGCGUUGUCCGGAAUCAUUGGGCGUAAAGCGCGUGUAGGCGGCUUGACAAGUCUGCUGUGAAAGUCCAGGGCUCAACCCUGGAAUGCCGGUGGAAACUGUCAAGCUAGAGUCCGGAAGGGGAGUGUGGAAUUCCUGGUGUAGCGGUGAAAUGCGUAGAUCUCGGGAAGAACACCAAAGGCGAAAGCACUCUGCUGGGCCGAGACUGACACUGAGGGACGAAAGCUAGGGGAGCGAA
This 425-nucleotide ribosomal RNA is filed under the name uncultured bacterium. RNAcentral describes it as "bacterial SSU rRNA". It matches the Rfam family "Bacterial small subunit ribosomal RNA", at positions 355 to 772 of the family's 1533-position model. The record is from RNAcentral.